Molecule: ribosomal RNA, 379 nt
Filed under: uncultured cyanobacterium
Lineage: Bacteria; Bacillati; Cyanobacteriota
Description: SSU rRNA
Rfam family: Bacterial small subunit ribosomal RNA
Source: RNAcentral
CGAAAGCCUGACGGAGCAACGCCGCGUGGGGGAUGAAGGCCUCUGGGCUGUAAACCUCUUUUCUCAAGGAAGAAGAUCUGACGGUACUUGAGGAAUAAGCCACGGCUAAUUCCGUGCCAGCAGCCGCGGUAACACGGGAGUGGCGAGCGUUAUCCGGAAUUAUUGGGCGUAAAGCGUCCGCAGGCGGCCUUUCAAGUCUGCUGUUAAAUCGUGGAGCUUAACUCCAUCAUGGCAGUGGAAACUGUUGGGCUCGAGUGUGGUAGGGGCAGAGGGAAUUCCCGGUGUAGCGGUGAAAUGCGUAGAUAUCGGGAAGAACACCAGUGGCGAAGGCGCUCUGCUGGGCCAUUACUGACGCUCAUGGACGAAAGCCAGGGGAGCG